GGUGAAGGCUUUGGCUACAGCAAAUGAGAACGAGCCCAAACGCAGCAGCCACAGAUGCAAAAAUGAAGGAAAAGAGCUGCUUACCCUUGGGAGGCCUCAGGAUCUCCAGCAAGAAAUGCCCUCACCUCUACUGCCAACCCGUAAAUGAGGGCUGGGAAGGGGUGGAUCCUGGCUCCAUCCCUUCCAUCACUCAGCUACAUUGCAUGCACCUGAGCCCCCUGGAUUGGCCCUGCCUUCCCACCAGGUGCUCCAUCACUGCUCCAGGCUGUGACUGAGCAUUUCUGCCACACGUGGUACUGAUAAGGAGAUACAGCACUCACUGACAGAUGAGGACAGACACCUCUAUGCUUCAUCUGUUGCCUGCAGAUGAGAAAGGCUCCUCCACACCUCCAGCCCAACUGCCAGGGCAGCGGAGCAUGCAGUCCUGAUGUCCCCUCCACAGCCAUUGCUCAGAGGCAGCACUGGAUGAAUUGAGUUCAUUACCACUAAAAAGGCACUAACAGCUGCACUUAGAAACUAUUUUCCCUGUGUGUUUCCACCGUGCUGCCUCCACACACCACACCAAUGGCAAACCUGCAAUUCACAUUCUAGUCUCAUUCUUCUGCCUUUGUGGGAAGGAAGGAGAGUUAAGGCUUUCCAGACAGAAACAACCCUUCCUAACUCUGGUAACCCCAGGUUCCCAAAUCCUCCUGUCCAGGUGGAAGGAGGCAGUGGGUCAAAUGCACUGACAGCCAGAAUCCUAAAUCAGCAGUAAAAGAAAUAUCUUUAUAAAUGUCAACUGUGUAUUCAUCUCAGUGUCACAGCGAGGUAGAGCAGCAUUAGCUCAAGGAAUCAGCUGUAAAGGAUUUACCCUGUUCUCCUGUCCCACGGGAAACUGAGGAAACCCCAAAGCUGAUGCAUGAGGUGGAAGUAAACUGCUCCACAACUGUUCCCUGGGUCAGAAGCACAGAACACCCUGAGCUGGGAGGGACCCACCAGCAGCACCCUGUGUUGGGUUAACAGCCCUGAGCUCAGCCCUGGCACUACCAGGGCUUCCUUUAUGUGAUCCCCC
This is a long non-coding RNA of Gallus gallus (chicken), 1051 nucleotides long. The record is from Ensembl. NCBI's taxonomy places the organism in Eukaryota, Metazoa, Chordata, Aves, Galliformes, Phasianidae.